AAUAAGUACAGCCAUUAGUUUCAGUAUCCAAUUUUGAUCGUACAUCUUAUUUAAUUUUUUUAUUAGUAUUUUUGUUGUUGUAAGAUUAUAAAACAUGAAUAGUACUUUAUGUGUAAAUUAUGUUUUUUAUUUUUUUUUAAAAAAAAAUUAAUUAAGAUGAACGAUCAAAGUUGGACACGGAAACUCAUAGUUGUGCUUAUU
Oryza sativa Japonica Group (Japanese rice) is the source of this 201-nucleotide microRNA precursor. It matches the Rfam family "MIR812 microRNA precursor family". The record is from Rfam. Lineage: Eukaryota; Viridiplantae; Streptophyta; Magnoliopsida; Poales; Poaceae.